This 632-nucleotide non-coding RNA is filed under the name Pan troglodytes (chimpanzee). Lineage: Eukaryota; Metazoa; Chordata; Mammalia; Primates; Hominidae. The record is from RNAcentral.
UGUAUAUCCCCUAAACUCCUCACCUAUAUCACAAAAACCUGCCAAGGCAGAAUACAUUCCCUUGGGAAAGGAGCUUUGGCGGGCAAGCAGGCAUCGGGUCCCAUCUGACACCAGCGUGAUCACCACAGGAGCCAUCUAGGAAAGGGGAAUGGAAACUGAGAUGCUGGCACUUUGGGCCCUGCCAAUGAGCUAAAGCAAUGUAUAAUUAAGGAAUUGCACAGGCUUCCUUCCCCAGGACAAAGCAGCACACAGUCUUCUUGGAUUACUGUCCUCUUACAGCAAUACUUACCUGUGGAUAAUAGAUGAUAUUAUUGGAAGGGCACACACGCUUGCUGCCAGCCACGUUCUUCUUGGUGGGCUGCCCACUUCUGCUGCAGAACUGAUGAGCAUCAUGCCAGCGGAGAAGAGCUUGAGCCUAGGAACACAGUGAUGGGCCUGGUGUCAUUUGGAGAGAAUGCGGGGCUCAUCUUUAACAGCACUGGGCCUAGUGUCUGGAACAACUCACAGAAAAAUGCCAAUCUCUUUACAGCUCACGUAAUUUAAAUGGUUACUGUUUAAAUUUCAGGACAAGUAAACUAACUGAACAUAUUCCUCUAGCAUCAGAAAUCUGAAUAAAAGAAAGCAUAUUUUUA